Cordylochernes scorpioides is the source of this 77-nucleotide non-coding RNA. NCBI's taxonomy places the organism in Eukaryota, Metazoa, Arthropoda, Arachnida, Pseudoscorpiones, Chernetidae. The record is from the annotation of a GenBank genome assembly.
UUCCCAGAAGUAAGUCGAAUCGAACUCACAGUGUUCCGCUUACCGGGCAGAUGCCAUGUCCACUAGGCUACCCUGGA